GCGGCCUAUCAGCUUGUUGGUGAGGUAAUGGCUCACCAAGGCGACGACGGGUAGCCGGCCUGAGAGGGCGACCGGCCACACUGGGACUGAGACACGGCCCAGACUCCUACGGGAGGCAGCAGUGGGGAAUAUUGGGCAAUGGAGGAAACUCUGACCCAGCGACGCCGCGUGAGGGAUGGAGGCCUUCGGGUUGUAAACCUCUUUCAGUAGGGAAGAAGCGAAAGUGACGGUACCUACAAAAGAAGCACCGGCUAACUAUGUGCCAGCAGCCGCGGUAAUACAUAGGGUGCAAGCGUUGUCCGGAAUUAUUGGGCGUAAAGAGCUCGUAGGUGGUUCGAUACGUCGGAUGUGAAAAUCAGGGGCUCAACCCCUGACCUGCAUCCGAUACGGUCGAGCUAGAGUUUGGUAGGGGAGACUGGAAUUCCU
Molecule: ribosomal RNA, 426 nt
Filed under: uncultured Actinomycetes bacterium
Lineage: Bacteria; Bacillati; Actinomycetota; Actinomycetes
Description: bacterial SSU rRNA
Rfam family: Bacterial small subunit ribosomal RNA
Source: RNAcentral